RNAcentral lists this ribosomal RNA (253 nucleotides) under uncultured bacterium. RNAcentral's name for it is "partial 16S ribosomal RNA". It matches the Rfam family "Bacterial small subunit ribosomal RNA", at positions 524 to 776 of the family's 1533-position model. The record is from RNAcentral.
GACGUAAGGGGCGAGCGUUACCCGGUAGCACUGGGCGUAAAGAGCGUGUAGGCGGUGGCAUGGGUCGGCGGUGAAAGCCACGGGCUCAACUCGUGGACGUCCGCCGAGACCGUGUUGCUCGAGGGCGGGAGGGGAAGGCGGAAUUCCCGGUCGAGCGGUGAAAUGCGAUGACAUCGGGAAGAACUCCAGCAGCGAAGGCGGCCUUCCAGCCCGAUCCUGACGCUGAGACGCGAAGGCACGGGGAGCGAGCCGG